CGCACAAGCGGUGGAGCAUGUGGUUUAAUUCGACGCAACGCGCAGAACCUUACCAGCCCUUGACAUCCCGGUCGCGGACUCCAGAGACGGAGUUCUUCAGUUCGGCUGGACCGGAGACAGGUGCUGCAUGGCUGUCGUCAGCUCGUGUCGUGAGAUGUUGGGUUAAGUCCCGCAACGAGCGCAACCCCCGUCCUUAGUUGCUACCAUUUAGUUGAGCACUCUAAGGAGACUGCCGGUGAUAAGCCGCGAGGAAGGUGGGGAUGACGUCAAGUCCUCAUGGCCCUUACGGGCUGGGCUACACACGUGCUACAAUGGCGGUGACAAUGGGAUGCUAAGGGGCGACCCUUUCAAAUCUUAAAAAGCCGCUCAGUUCGGAUUGGGCUCUUGCAACUCGAGCCCAUGAAGAUGGAAUNCUAGUAAUCGUGGAUNANNACCCCACGGUGAAUACNUUNCCCGGCCU
This 460-nucleotide ribosomal RNA is filed under the name Bradyrhizobium sp. CMU29. RNAcentral describes it as "bacterial SSU rRNA". It matches the Rfam family "Bacterial small subunit ribosomal RNA", at positions 922 to 1381 of the family's 1533-position model. The record is from RNAcentral. Lineage: Bacteria; Pseudomonadati; Pseudomonadota; Alphaproteobacteria; Hyphomicrobiales; Nitrobacteraceae.